GGUCUUAUAUUCAAUAAAUGAUUUUAAAUUGCAAAUUUAAAGGUAAAAUAAAAAUUUUUAAGGCUU
This 66-nucleotide transfer RNA is filed under the name Fleutiauxia armata. RNAcentral's name for it is "tRNA-Cys". Lineage: Eukaryota; Metazoa; Arthropoda; Insecta; Coleoptera; Chrysomelidae. The record is from RNAcentral.